UACGGAGGAUGCGAGCGUUAUCCGGAUUUAUUGGGUUUAAAGGGUGCGUAGGCGGAACAUUAAGUCAGCGGUAAAAUCGAGGGGCUCAACCCCUUUAAGCCGUUGAAACUGGCAGUCUUGAGUACAGUAGAGGUGGGCGGAAUUCGUGGUGUAGCGGUGAAAUGCUUAGAUAUCACGAAGAACUCCGAUUGCGAAGGCAGCUCACUGGACUGCAACUGACACUGAGGCUCGAAAGCGUGGGGAGCAAACAGG
Molecule: ribosomal RNA, 252 nt
Filed under: uncultured Bacteroides sp.
Lineage: Bacteria; Pseudomonadati; Bacteroidota; Bacteroidia; Bacteroidales; Bacteroidaceae
Description: partial 16S ribosomal RNA
Rfam family: Bacterial small subunit ribosomal RNA
Source: RNAcentral